GCUACUUCUUCUGAAGUGGAUACUCAGAUUCUGUGCUGGCUUUAGGAGGAACAAAACAAAUACCUCGGGACUGACCACAGCACCUGACAGACAAAACCUAAUGAAGAGUGUUCUCCAAGGGAAAUCCUUCUCGCACAGAUGAAUUGAAAACAAAGAACAGUGUAAGAAAAUGAAAACAUCUUCAAUAUAACUUAUGAUGAAGACCACUUCCUCUCACGGAUGUUACAGUUUACAGAGGGAAGAAAGAGAAGAAUUGAAGGAGGAACCCACAGAGCUAGGAAAUUCACAACCAGUACUCCAUGCAUCAAAGCAAGUUAGCCAAGACAAUUGCAGAUAUAUGGAGAGAUAUAAGUCAUGCCCUAUGUUUAAUUACUCAGCUAGCUGAAAGAACACAGAGUUACAUCUGCCUAGUUCCUGCAAAUGGGAGGAAAGGACUUUACACUGGCUUUACAAAGGACUGGAGCUAACCCCUCCCCAAACAGCUAAUCUGCUAAGAAGGAUGGGUAGAUAAGCAGGUGCUCAC
Molecule: long non-coding RNA, 523 nt
Organism: Chrysemys picta bellii (western painted turtle)
Lineage: Eukaryota; Metazoa; Chordata; Testudines; Emydidae
Source: RefSeq, a predicted model, not a curated record